GAUGAACGCUAGCGGCAGGCCUAAUACAUGCAAGGCGAAGGGGCAGCAAUGUCACUGUCGUACGGGUGCGUAACGCGUAUGCAACCUACCUAUCACAGGGGAAUAGCCUUUGGAAACAGGGAUUAAUACCGCAUAAAGCAGGGACACCGCAUGGUGAUAUUGCUAAAGAUUUAUCGGUGAUAGAUGGGCAUGCGUCUGAUUAGUUAGUUGGCAGGGUAACGCCUACCAAGACGAUGAUCAGUAGGGGGCGUCAGAGCGUGGUUCCCCACACUGGCACUGAGAUACGGGCCAAGACUCCUACGGGGAGGCAGCAGUAGGGAAUAUUCGGGGCAAUGGAUGCAAGUCUGACCCAGCCAUG
Molecule: ribosomal RNA, 358 nt
Filed under: uncultured bacterium
Lineage: Bacteria
Description: bacterial SSU rRNA
Rfam family: Bacterial small subunit ribosomal RNA
Source: RNAcentral